Molecule: ribosomal RNA, 2901 nt
Filed under: Escherichia coli
Lineage: Bacteria; Pseudomonadati; Pseudomonadota; Gammaproteobacteria; Enterobacterales; Enterobacteriaceae
Description: 23S ribosomal RNA
Rfam family: Bacterial large subunit ribosomal RNA
Source: RNAcentral
UUAAGCGACUAAGCGUACACGGUGGAUGCCCUGGCAGUCAGAGGCGAUGAAGGACGUGCUAAUCUGCGAUAAGCGUCGGUAAGGUGAUAUGAACCGUUAUAACCGGCGAUUUCCGAAUGGGGAAACCCAGUGUGAUUCGUCACACUAUCAUUAACUGAAUCCAUAGGUUAAUGAGGCGAACCGGGGGAACUGAAACAUCUAAGUACCCCGAGGAAAAGAAAUCAACCGAGAUUCCCCCAGUAGCGGCGAGCGAACGGGGAGGAGCCCAGAGCCUGAAUCAGUGUGUGUGUUAGUGGAAGCGUCUGGAAAGGCGCGCGAUACAGGGUGACAGCCCCGUACACAAAAAUGCACAUGCUGUGAGCUCGAUGAGUAGGGCGGGACACGUGGUAUCCUGUCUGAAUAUGGGGGGACCAUCCUCCAAGGCUAAAUACUCCUGACUGACCGAUAGUGAACCAGUACCGUGAGGGAAAGGCGAAAAGAACCCCGGCGAGGGGAGUGAAAAAGAACCUGAAACCGUGUACGUACAAGCAGUGGGAGCACAGAGCAAUCUGUGUGACUGCGUACCUUUUGUAUAAUGGGUCAGCGACUUAUAUUCUGUAGCAAGGUUAACCGAAUAGGGGAGCCGAAGGGAAACCGAGUCUUAACUGGGCGUUAAGUUGCAGGGUAUAGACCCGAAACCCGGUGAUCUAGCCAUGGGCAGGUUGAAGGUUGGGUAACACUAACUGGAGGACCGAACCGACUAAUGUUGAAAAAUUAGCGGAUGACGUGUUGCUGGGAGUGAAAGGCCAAUCAAACCGGGAGAUUGCUGGUUCUCCCCGAAAGCUAUUUAGGUAGCGCCUCGUGAAUUCAUCUCCGGGGGUAGAGCACUGUUUCGGCAAGGGGGUCAUCCCGACUUACCAACCCGAUGCAAACUGCGAAUACCGGAGAAUGUUAUCACGGGAGACACACGGCGGGUGCUAACGUCCGUCGUGAAGAGGGAAACAACCCAGACCGCCAGCUAAGGUCCCAAAGUCAUGGUUAAGUGGGAAACGAUGUGGGAAGGCCCAGACAGCCAGGAUGUUGGCUUAGAAGCAGCCAUCAUUUAAAGAAAGCGUAAUAGCUCACUGGUCGAGUCGGCCUGCGCGGAAGAUGUAACGGGGCUAAACCAUGCACCGAAGCUGCGGCAGCGACACUGUGUGUUGUUGGGUAGGGGAGCGUUCUGUAAGCCUGUGAAGGUGUGCUGUGAGGCAUGCUGGAGGUAUCAGAAGUGCGAAUGCUGACAUAAGUAACGAUAAAGCGGGUGAAAAGCCCGCUCGCCGGAAGACCAAGGGUUCCUGUCCAACGUUAAUCGGGGCAGGGUGAGUCGACCCCUAAGGCGAGGCCGAAAGGCGUAGUCGAUGGGAAACAGGUUAAUAUUCCUGUACUUGGUGUUACUGCGAAGGGGGGACGGAGAAGGCUAUGUUGGCCGGGCGACGGUUGUCCCGGUUUAAGCGUGUAGGCUGGUUUUCCAGGCAAAUCCGGAAAAUCAAGGCUGAGGCGUGAUGACGAGGCACUACGGUGCUGAAGCAACAAAUGCCCUGCUUCCGGAAAAGCCUCUAAGCAUCAGGUAACAUCAAAUCGUACCCCAAACCGACACAGGUGGUCAGGUAGAGAAUACCAAGGCGCUUGAGAGAACUCGGGUGAAGGAACUAGGCAAAAUGGUGCCGUAACUUCGGGAGAAGGCACGCUGAUAUGUAGGUGAAGUCCCUCGCGGAUGGAGCUGAAAUCAGUCGAAGAUACCAGCUGGCUGCAACUGUUUAUUAAAAACACAGCACUGUGCAAACACGAAAGUGGACGUAUACGGUGUGACGCCUGCCCGGUGCCGGAAGGUUAAUUGAUGGGGUCAGCGCAAGCGAAGCUCUUGAUCGAAGCCCCGGUAAACGGCGGCCGUAACUAUAACGGUCCUAAGGUAGCGAAAUUCCUUGUCGGGUAAGUUCCGACCUGCACGAAUGGCGUAAUGAUGGCCAGGCUGUCUCCACCCGAGACUCAGUGAAAUUGAACUCGCUGUGAAGAUGCAGUGUACCCGCGGCAAGACGGAAAGACCCCGUGAACCUUUACUAUAGCUUGACACUGAACAUUGAGCCUUGAUGUGUAGGAUAGGUGGGAGGCUUUGAAGUGUGGACGCCAGUCUGCAUGGAGCCGACCUUGAAAUACCACCCUUUAAUGUUUGAUGUUCUAACGUGGACCCGUGAUCCGGGUUGCGGACAGUGUCUGGUGGGUAGUUUGACUGGGGCGGUCUCCUCCUAAAGAGUAACGGAGGAGCACGAAGGUUGGCUAAUCCUGGUCGGACAUCAGGAGGUUAGUGCAAUGGCAUAAGCCAGCUUGACUGCGAGCGUGACGGCGCGAGCAGGUGCGAAAGCAGGUCAUAGUGAUCCGGUGGUUCUGAAUGGAAGGGCCAUCGCUCAACGGAUAAAAGGUACUCCGGGGAUAACAGGCUGAUACCGCCCAAGAGUUCAUAUCGACGGCGGUGUUUGGCACCUCGAUGUCGGCUCAUCACAUCCUGGGGCUGAAGUAGGUCCCAAGGGUAUGGCUGUUCGCCAUUUAAAGUGGUACGCGAGCUGGGUUUAGAACGUCGUGAGACAGUUCGGUCCCUAUCUGCCGUGGGCGCUGGAGAACUGAGGGGGGCUGCUCCUAGUACGAGAGGACCGGAGUGGACGCAUCACUGGUGUUCGGGUUGUCAUGCCAAUGGCACUGCCCGGUAGCUAAAUGCGGAAGAGAUAAGUGCUGAAAGCAUCUAAGCACGAAACUUGCCCCGAGAUGAGUUCUCCCUGACCCUUUAAGGGUCCUGAAGGAACGUUGAAGACGACGACGUUGAUAGGCCGGGUGUGUAAGCGCAGCGAUGCGUUGAGCUAACCGGUACUAAUGAACCGUGAGGCUUAACCU